AACGAACGCUGGCGGCAGGCCUAACACAUGCAAGUCGAGCGAGGACUUCGGUCCUAGCGGCGGACGGGUGAGUAACGCGUGGGAACGUGCUCUUUGCUUCGGAAUAGCCCUGGGAAACUGGGAGUAAUACCGGAUGAGCCCUUUGGGGGAAAGAUUUAUCGGCGAAGGAUCGGCCCGCGUUGGAUUAGGUAGUUGGUGGGGUAAUGGCCUACCAAGCCGACGAUCCAUAGCUGGUUUGAGAGGAUGAUCAGCCACACUGGGACUGAGACACGGCCCAGACUCCUACGGGAGGCAGCAGUGGGGAAUCUUAGACAAGGGGGGAAACCCUGAUCUAGCCAUGCCGCGUGAGCGAUGAAGGCCUUAGGGUUGUAAAGCUCUUUCAGCUGGGAAGAUAAUGACGGUACCAGCAGAAGAAGCCCCGGCUAACUCCGUG
RNAcentral lists this ribosomal RNA (433 nucleotides) under uncultured bacterium. Its description in RNAcentral is "partial 16S ribosomal RNA". It matches the Rfam family "Bacterial small subunit ribosomal RNA", at positions 29 to 507 of the family's 1533-position model. The record is from RNAcentral.